UUUUUUCGUGAAAGCUUUACU
Molecule: non-coding RNA, 21 nt
Filed under: Caenorhabditis elegans
Lineage: Eukaryota; Metazoa; Nematoda; Chromadorea; Rhabditida; Rhabditidae
Source: RNAcentral